GACAGAGGGUGCGAACGUUGCUCGGAAUUACUGGGCGUAAAGCGCGUGUAGGCGGGUCGACAAGUCGGAUGUGAAAUCCCCGGGCUCAACCCGGGAACUGCACCCGAAACUGUCGGCCUUGAGUGCCGGAGAGGGUGGCGGAAUUCCUGGUGUAGAGGUGAAAUUCGUAGAUAUCAGGAGGAACACCGGUGGCGAAGGCGGCCACCUGGACGGCUACUGACGCUGAGACGCGAAAGCGUGGGGAGCAAACAGG
RNAcentral lists this ribosomal RNA (253 nucleotides) under uncultured prokaryote. RNAcentral's name for it is "partial 16S ribosomal RNA". It matches the Rfam family "Bacterial small subunit ribosomal RNA", at positions 524 to 776 of the family's 1533-position model. The record is from RNAcentral.